AACGUAGGAGGCGAGCGUUAUCCGGAGUUACUGGGCGUAAAGGGCUCGUAGGUGGCCAACUAAGUCAGACGUGAAAUCCCUCAGCUUAACUGGGGAACUGCGUCUGAUACUGGAUGGCUUGAGUUUGGGAGAGGGACGCGGAAUUCCAGGUGUAGCGGUGAAAUGCGUAGAUAUCUGGAGGAACACCGGUGGCGAAGGCGGCAUCCUGGACCAACACUGACACUGAUGAGCGAAAGCCAGGGGAGCAAACGGG
This 253-nucleotide ribosomal RNA is filed under the name uncultured bacterium. Its description in RNAcentral is "partial 16S ribosomal RNA". It matches the Rfam family "Bacterial small subunit ribosomal RNA", at positions 524 to 776 of the family's 1533-position model. The record is from RNAcentral.